CCUACGGGUGGCAGCAGUGGGGAAUAUUUGGCCAUGUGCGCCCGCCUGCCCCCGCCCCUCCUCUUUCAUGAAGAAGGCUUUCGGGUUGUAAACUUCUUUUAAGAGGGAAGAGCAGAAGACGGUACCUCUUGAAUAAGCCACGGCUAACUACGUGCCAGCAGCCGCGGUAAUACGUAGGUGGCAAGCGUUGUCCGGAUUUACUGGGUGUAAAGGGCGUGUAGCCGGGCUGACAAGUCAGAUGUGAAAUCCGGGGGCUCAACCCCCGAACUGCAUUUGAAACUGUUGGUCUUGAGUAUCGGAGAGGCAGGCGGAAUUCCUAGUGUAGCGGUGAAAUGCGUAGAUAUUAGGAGGAACACCAGUGGCGAAGGCGGCCUGCUGGACGACAACUGACGGUGAGGCGCGAAAGCGUGGGGAGCAAACAGGAUUAGAUACCCGAGUAGUC
This 442-nucleotide ribosomal RNA is filed under the name uncultured bacterium. Its description in RNAcentral is "partial 16S ribosomal RNA". It matches the Rfam family "Bacterial small subunit ribosomal RNA", at positions 338 to 795 of the family's 1533-position model. The record is from RNAcentral.